CCAUCCAUUUCACUCGCUCAAUCAAUCUUCUGAAACCCUAGCUAAUCAAUUUCAUCAAAUUCUCAAACCCUAGCUUUUCUUCAAUGGCUCGUACCAAGCAAACCGCUCGCAAAUCCACCGGCGGAAAGGCACCGAGGAAGCAAUUGGCCACCAAGGCCGCUCGGAAAUCUGCUCCGGCCACCGGAGGAGUGAAGAAGCCCCACAGGUUCAGGCCAGGAACCGUUGCUCUCCGUGAGAUCCGAAAGUACCAGAAGAGCACUGAGCUCUUGAUCCGAAAGCUCCCAUUCCAGCGCUUGGUUCGUGAAAUCGCUCAGGAUUUCAAGACCGAUCUCCGAUUCCAGAGCUCCGCCGUGGCUGCGCUACAAGAGGCCGCUGAAGCUUACCUUGUGGGACUCUUUGAGGACACAAAUCUCUGCGCUAUUCACGCUAAGAGAGUCACCAUCAUGCCUAAGGAUAUUCAGCUCGCUAGGAGGAUCAGGGGUGAGCGUGCUUAGAGUGAAGGAUUUUGUGUAGAUAAAGAAAUUUGGGCAGAUCUAUGUGUCAGGGUUUUUUUUUUUCUCUAUGUUAUGGUUUUUGCUUGUUUGUUAGGUUUAGAUUGUUUAUCUUUAAUCACUGUUUCACUAAUUGGUGUUUUGGUUAUUGUUAUCUCUGAUGGGUUGUGCAUUUUUAAAUAUGCUCUAAGUAAGGUUGCUGGAAACCCUAACCCUAAUUCUCCAACUCCAAUGGCUCGUACCAAGCAAACUGCUCGCAAAUCCACCGGCGGCAAGGCACCGAGGAAGCAAUUGGCCACCAAGGCUGCUCGGAAGUCCGCUCCGGCCACCGGAGGAGUGAAGAAGCCCCACAGGUUCAGGCCAGGGACCGUUGCUCUCCGUGAGAUCCGAAAGUACCAGAAGAGUACCGAGCUCCUGAUCCGAAAGCUCCCAUUCCAGCGCUUGGUUCGUGAAAUCGCUCAGGAUUUCAAGACCGAUCUCCGAUUCCAGAGCUCCGCCGUGGCUGCGCUACAAGAGGCCGCGGAGGCUUACCUUGUGGGACUCUUUGAGGACACCAAUCUCUGCGCUAUUCACGCUAAGAGAGUCACCAUCAUGCCUAAGGAUAUUCAGCUCGCUAGGAGGAUCAGGGGUGAGCGUGCUUAGAGUGAAGGAGUUCGUGUAGAUAAAAGAUUUUCGGUUGGAAUGGGGUGUCAGAUCUAUGUUAUGGUCUUGCUUUGUUUCUUAGGGUUUAGAUGGUAAUGUUUGAACGCAGUUGAGGCUGCAUUUGAAGCCAUGAAUGUUUUGUAGUGUAGUCAUUUGCACUAAUGGAAAUUAAUGGUUUCUGUUUAA
This is an RNA transcript of Quercus robur (English oak), 1319 nucleotides long. RefSeq lists it as uncharacterized. The transcript is spliced from 3 exons. NCBI's taxonomy places the organism in Eukaryota, Viridiplantae, Streptophyta, Magnoliopsida, Fagales, Fagaceae. The record is from RefSeq and is a predicted model, not a curated record.